GACGAACGCUGGAGGCGUGCUUAACACAUGCAAGUCGAACGAUGAAAUGGAGCUUGCUCCAUGGAUUAGUGGCGAACGGGUGAGUAACACGUGAAUAACCUGCCCUUAAUUUUGGAAUAACCCAGGGAAACCUGGGCUAAUACCGGAUAAGUAAACCUGUGGCAUCACAUGGUUUUGGAAAGUUUUUCGAUUAAGGAUGGAUUCGCGGCCUAUCAGCUUGUUGGUGGGGUAAUGGCUCACCAAGGCGACGACGGGUAGCCGGCCUGAGAGGGUGAACGGCCACACUGGGACUGAGACACGGCCCAGACUCCUACGGGAGGCAGCAGUGGGGAAUAUUGCGCAAUGGACGAAAGUCUGACGCAGCGACGCCUCGUGAGGGACGAAGGUCUUCGGAUUGUAAACCUCUUUCAGCAGGGACGAAGCGAAAGUGACGGUACCUGCAGAAGAAGCACCGGCUAACUAUGUGCCAGCCGCCGCCGUAA
Molecule: ribosomal RNA, 482 nt
Filed under: uncultured bacterium
Lineage: Bacteria
Description: partial 16S ribosomal RNA
Rfam family: Bacterial small subunit ribosomal RNA
Source: RNAcentral